This is a non-coding RNA of Cricetulus griseus (Chinese hamster), 848 nucleotides long. Lineage: Eukaryota; Metazoa; Chordata; Mammalia; Rodentia; Cricetidae. The record is from RefSeq and is a predicted model, not a curated record.
GGUGAGGAGAGACUUACAUUCAAUGGUCCAGACAGAAAAGGGCCCACCAUCCCUUUGGCCUUUGCCCAGGGUCUGUCUUUGCCUGAACUGGAUCAUUUGUGUUGCAGCCUGAGAAUUCCCCACCUUGCCCUAACCUCUGAGCUGCCCUGCUUUUGGUUUUCAAAGGACUGGAAAGGAAUGGGAAUUGGAACUCUUUCCUGCCACCUAGAUCACCAUCUUGUCUUUAAGAGCAGUUUCAGCCAGCUGCUUCCUCCAGGUGAACACCUCAGGCCACAGCCAUCAUCACGGUCGGUCGUCUACCAGGACUCCAUCACCAUGAUCAAGGAAACCUUCAGCCAGACUCUGCCUCAAGGUGGAAGGCUAGAUGGUCAGUUCAGAUAGAGGGUAACAUCAUUGAUGACUCAGUCACCGGUGGAAAUGCUUCCAAUGAAGCUCAGAGGGCAAAGGUAUCAAAAGUUCCAUAAUGACUGGUGAACCAUCACUGACCAGAAACUGGCUUCACAAAAGAGACCACAGGCCUAAAACAAGUCCAUCAGAGAUGGUGCUAACUCCCUCAAAGGCAGACUUGGAGACCAGAAGCAAGAAAAAGUAAAGCCCUUUAUGACCUGGGUUGCAGAACAAACCAAGCACAUCCUGGUCAAUUUCAAUAACCACCAGUUAUUUAUGGAUAAAAACAAAUUUCCAGAUGGCUCAGCUGCUCCUCUGGACUAUGUGACUCCAGACAGGGUUUUCUUUAAGGGUGGUUUAGAAAUGGAAAAAUGCUAACAAACUGAGCAAUUAUAUUGGCUGCAUUGCCUAUCACAACUGGAUGCUGCUUGUUAUCCGUACAACACCGGAACCCAUGAGAC